RNAcentral lists this ribosomal RNA (428 nucleotides) under uncultured bacterium. RNAcentral's name for it is "bacterial SSU rRNA". It matches the Rfam family "Bacterial small subunit ribosomal RNA", at positions 355 to 775 of the family's 1533-position model. The record is from RNAcentral.
UGGGGAAUCUUGGUCAAUGGGCGCAAGCCUGAACCAGCGACGCCGCGUGAGUGAUGAAGGCCUUCGGGUUGUAAAGCUCUGUGGGGAGGGACGAAAAGAGUCAGUCUAAUAGGCUGAUAAAUUGACGGUACCUCCUUAGCAAGCACCGGCUAACUCUGUGCCAGCAGCCGCGGUAAGACAGAGGGUGCAAACGUUGCUCGGAAUUACUGGGCGUAAAGCGCGUGUAGGCGGGUUUCCAAGUCAGAUGUGAAAUCCCCGGGCUCAACCCGGGAACUGCAUUUGAAACUGGGAGUCUUGAGUAUCGGAGAGGAAAGCGGAAUUCCUGGUGUAGAGGUGAAAUUCGUAGAUAUCAGGAGGAACACCGGUGGCGAAGGCGGCUUUCUGGACGAUAACUGACGCUGAGACGCGAAAGCGUGGGGAGCAAACAG